Molecule: long non-coding RNA, 3286 nt
Organism: Rattus norvegicus (Norway rat)
Lineage: Eukaryota; Metazoa; Chordata; Mammalia; Rodentia; Muridae
Source: Ensembl
CCCCGGCCUGGGGCUUUCCGCGCCCAGAAAGCCGCCUGCCCGGGAAAAUCCCGGCCCCCUUCCCGGCGCCGCGGCCCUGCCCGGCAGAGAAGGGGGAGGGGAUUCCCGGAAUCUGCCCGGAGACCGCGCUGGCGUCACUGAGCUGAAUAGGCCCAUAUAUGGGCAGCGCUUCCGUAACGUCAGCGGGGAAAGCCCCGGCGCACGGGGCUGGGCGGGGCCGUGCUUGCACAUUCCGGGUUUUGUCCUGGGCCUGGAUAGCUUGUUCUCGGCCACUGCCUGCCUGCGCAGCGUCUGGUGCCAGGACUCAGGGGAUGGGAGGUUUGAGCGCUUGUACUGGACCUUAAGAUACCCGAAAGGAGAGAACUACAAACUGCCCCGGGCUUGGGGCAGCCCAAUCUUCUCCCUCCAUCCGCCCAGCUUGGAAGAAAGAGACCACAGAAAUUAAUAAAGACUUUUUUUUUACUUAAAUAGAUUCAAUAAAAAGUCAAACACACACACAAACACAUCUUAAAAUAGACUUUAGACACGAAGUGCGUGUUUCUUCUCCACAGUACUGUGCAGAGGGGGAGGGCAGGGGGCGGAGGUUCCUCCCUAGUAUCCCCACAGGCUGAGUACCAGGCGGCGGGGCCAGCUCCGCCGCGACAACCCCCUUCUCCCCUCCCUGUUAAAUACACAAAUAUAUUAUAUUCAAUAUGAAUUCAGUCUCUUUCCAGAAAAAAAAAACAUACAAAAUACGCUGGAAGGGGGCCAUGUAAACCUCGAGGUGGAAGGACUGGGCGCAGGCGGGCAGGCCAGAGUCCAGUGUGUGAGCUGCGCCCCAGACCUCUGGGCGAGUGCCCAUCGCCUGCCCCCCUCACCCCAGUGGGGGGCGGGCGCCCAGCCUUCAAGGCUGGGGGUGUCCGUAUGGAGCAAGGGAGGCUCUCAGAAGGCGUGUCCCUUGACCCCUAGCAGCAACUGGCAGCCGUUGCUGACGUGGGUCAUGACCUUCUGCUUGAGCUGCGCCACUUGCUCCCGUAGGAGGCCGGCAGUACUUGACAGCCCCGCGUUCUCAGCCUUGAGUGUCUUCACCUUGUCCUCCAGGCGCGCGAUGCGCUCCAGCUUCCGCUUCCGGCAUUUGGUGGCCGCCAGCCUGUUCCGCAGCCGCUUUCGCUCCACUUUGAUGCGCUCCUGGUCUUCCAUGUUGAUGGGGGACACAGGCGGCGUGGCGUCGCGGCUGCGUGCCUCCGGUACGGUCUGCGGUUCCUCUUUAAAGGCGGAAGCGCCGCGACUCAAGCCCAGCUGCGCCGGGUGGCCGCCCGCAAAGGGUGGUGCAUGUGGGAGGUAGCUGAUGGUGGCCGUCGGGUAUGAGCUCCCAGUCCCGACGGCGGUCCCGGAACCUCCAGAGGGUGCAGAGGCUGGGGAGUAACUGCUGAGGUUGGUGUAGACCGGAGGCGGCUCCGGACCAGCAUAGACGCCCCCAGGCCCGGCCUGGGGACCCCCGCUGGCGCCCAGAGACACGUUGGGGGGCGUCACGUGGUUCAUCUUGUGCAGGUCGUCCAGGGCUUUGACAAAACCGUCCGCAAAGCCCUCCUGCUCCUCGGUGACGCCGCCCCCUGUACCUCCGCCGCUGCCGCCCCCACGGGGGUAAAAGUACUGUCCCGGAGGCGUGGGCGUCGUCGUGAUCACGCCGUUGCUGUUGGGGACGAUCAAGCGCUCCAGUUCCGUGGAGGCUAGCUUCAGAGAUGCGCCUGUGUCUGAUCCCUGACCCGAAAAGUAGCUGCCUGCCCCACUGCCCUCUGGGCCUGGACCCCGCGCCCCAGGACCCUUGAGACCCCGAUAAGGAUCUGCCAGGUUGAGCGCUAAGGUGGGUUUCAGGAGUUUGUAGUCGUGAAGAGAAAGACUGCCAGGGCUCCGACCGUAUCCUGCCGCUGCGUAUGAGUCGUCGUGAUAGAAAGGCUGUUCCAUUUUCGUGCACAUCCGGGCGGCCUGGGCGAUCUGGGAAAGGUCCCCCUGAAGGGCCGCUCCGGGCCUCGCUGCGGCGACCGGCGAGCUGUCCUCGGCUGUGGCGGGACCCGGCGUCCGGUCGCGCGUCCUCGGGAGCUGGAGACGGUCGGCAGCGGCCAGUUGGUAGCUGUGCGUAAAAGCGCUGCCCGGCUUCUGGAGCUUUUCUCUCCCUCCGUGGUGCGCCCGCUUUCUCAGCGUCUCUUCUCUCAGCUCCCCGCUCCCUGCAGGAUCCAAAGCUGGCCUGGCCACCCUCAAGGUCCCCAGUGUUCGGCCCCAGCCCCAAGCUUUUAUACUGAAUUUGUCAGCUGCGGAAGUGCACUCCGAUUGGCCGACGCGGGAGCCAGGCCCCCGCGGCCCCCUCCUAGAGCGUGGGGAAGGGGAGGAGGCGGCUCGCGUCACUGUCAGGAAGCGCGUGUCCUUGUAAACAGCGGCCACGAGCCCGGUGGCUCUGCGCGGCUGCAGGGGGAGGGGCUGUAGAGACAGAGACACUCAAGCAAAGGGAUGUUGAGGGACCGAGGCACAUAGGAGUUAGGACUGCGGGAGUACAACCCGGUGGCUAUGAGAUCUCUGUACACUGCAAGUGGAGAUGGGGUGCCUCAGGAUAUACCCGGAAUAGUCUCGCGGGACCCACAAUAGCUGUGACUUGUGAACUGACAAUAUACUAGAAGACCCCAGAAAACAGGGAAGGUACAAAACGGGAGCAAUUGUUAACAUUUGACCUAGGAAUUAACUAGAGGCCCCGAGUGCAAAGUGCUUAAAGAACAGGUGGGAGAGAAGGUUCAGGAAGCAGGGUCAGGUACCUAUUGUAUAAGAAAUGAGUAGGGGCUCUAAAGCCCACAGAUGAGUCUGAGGGUUCUCCCAUAAGUGGAAAAGGGGAGUAAUUUUGGGGAGGUCAAUUUAGAUAUGCAGAAAGUGAACAAGGGUCCUGGAAACGCUGAGGCAAUAGGAGUAGAAGAUGGGAACAUAUCUAGCAAAGAUUGGGGUCACUGUGAUUAUUUGCAGAACUCUGAUGGAAAGUUAAAAUGGUCAGGACAUGGCUUCCUUCUGAGCUGUAAAGGCGAUGCCAGGAGGGUAUCUGAGAUCUACCCGAGAGGACGACUUGGAGGAUCCCAGAGACAAGGGGCUUGUAAGAAUGAGACUGUACCUCGUAAGUGGUCUCUAGGCACUGACAUACCCUGUACCUGAGUCCAAAGCCUCCCCUUAGUCACUCUGGGCUCGCCCGAUAUCCUGUCAGCUUUUGGAGGGCCGAAGAGGCGGGAUAGCUGGGGUGCGGUCGCCCAACCCCACUCCCUUCCUUAGAAAC